GACGAACGCUGGCGGCGUGCCUAAUACAUGCAAGUUGAACGCUAAAGCUUUAACUGGUGCUUGCACCGACUUAAGUUUUUAGAGUAGCGGACGGGUGAGUAACGCGUGGGAACGUGCCCUUUACUACGGAAUAGCCCAGGGAAACUUGGAUUAAUACCGUAUACGCCCUUCGGGGGAAAGAAUUUCGGUGAAGGAUCGGCCCGCGUUGGAUUAGGUAGUUGGUGGGGUAAUGGCCUACCAAGCCGACGAUCCAUAGCUGGUUUGAGAGGAUGAUCAGCCACACUGGGACUGAGACACGGCCCAGACUCCUACGGGAGGCAGCAGUGGGGAAUCUUAGACAAUGGGGGCAACCCUGAUCUAGCCAUGCCGCGUGAGUGAUGAAGGCCUUAGGGUUGUAAAGCUCUUUCAGCUGGGAAGAUAAUGACGGUACCAGCAGAAGAAGCCCCGGCUAACUCCGUGCCAGCCGCCGCAGUAAAAC
This 478-nucleotide ribosomal RNA is filed under the name uncultured bacterium. RNAcentral's name for it is "bacterial SSU rRNA". It matches the Rfam family "Bacterial small subunit ribosomal RNA", at positions 28 to 526 of the family's 1533-position model. The record is from RNAcentral.